UACGUAGGGGGCAAGCGUUGUCCGGAUUCAUUGGGCGUAAAGAGCGUGUAGGCGGCCAGGUAGGUCGGUUGUGAAAACUGGAGGCUCAACCUUCAGAGGUCGACCGAAACCAUCUGGCUAGAGUCCGGGAGAGGAGAGUGGAAUUCCUGGUGUAGCGGUGAAAUGCGCAGAUAUCAGGAAGAACACCAACGGCGAAGGCAGCUCGCUGGGACGGUACUGACGCUGAGACGCGAAAGCGUGGGGAGCGAACAGG
RNAcentral lists this ribosomal RNA (253 nucleotides) under uncultured bacterium. RNAcentral describes it as "partial 16S ribosomal RNA". It matches the Rfam family "Bacterial small subunit ribosomal RNA", at positions 524 to 776 of the family's 1533-position model. The record is from RNAcentral.